Molecule: long non-coding RNA, 370 nt
Organism: Dendroctonus ponderosae (mountain pine beetle)
Lineage: Eukaryota; Metazoa; Arthropoda; Insecta; Coleoptera; Curculionidae
Exons: 2
Source: RefSeq, a predicted model, not a curated record
CCAUAGAAACUAAACGAAAUAUUCAAUACUAAAUGCCAAAUUAUACAUCAAUAUGGGCAAAUCACGUCAAAUUCAGAAAUUUUACGAAUAAAAGUGCUCGGUCCGAUCUAGAAGUGAACAAAUAAAGGAUCAAAACUAUACUAAAAUAGUUCUACUGUGGCUGCAAAACAAAGCCUGAAAGCGAAAACUAGUAGAGGAGAAAAAAAUUCGUAAGAGUCUUAGAACAAGGAAAUAAAAUAAUUAUCCGAAUUAUUCCAACAAAAGUAUAGAAUGCAUGGAAAACAUCAAGGAACAGUUUCCAUAAUUGAAAACCUCCAAAAGUUGAAAAUUAUAUGACGAACAUUUCCGUUAAUAAAACUUAUUCUUUGAA